This 255-nucleotide ribosomal RNA is filed under the name uncultured bacterium. Its description in RNAcentral is "partial 16S ribosomal RNA". It matches the Rfam family "Bacterial small subunit ribosomal RNA", at positions 795 to 1052 of the family's 1533-position model. The record is from RNAcentral.
CCACGCCGUAAACGAUGAGUGCUAGGUGUCGGGAGUCAAAUCUCGGUGCCGCAGUUAACGCAAUAAGCACUCCGCCUGGGGAGUACGUACGCAAGUAUGAAACUCAAAGGAAUUGACGGGGACCCGCACAAGCAGCGGAGCAUGUGGUUUAAUUCGAAGCAACGCGAAGAACCUUACCAGGACUUGACAUCCCUCUGAAAGCUCUGAUAACGAAGAGCCCUCUUCGGACAGAGGAGACAGGUGGUGCAUGGUUGU